Paramuricea clavata is the source of this 337-nucleotide non-coding RNA. Lineage: Eukaryota; Metazoa; Cnidaria; Anthozoa; Malacalcyonacea; Plexauridae. The record is from the annotation of a GenBank genome assembly.
CGCCAUUUAGAAAUUAGCAAAGUGAUUAAACCCAGUUGCUAAGCAGCGUCGUCAAUUAGAAAUUAGCAAAGGGACCAAACCCAAUUGCUAAGCUAUGCUGCAUUUAGAAAUUAGCAAAGGGACCAAACCCAAUUGCUAAGCUAUGCCGCCAUUUUGAAAUUAGCAAAGUGACUAAACCCAGUUGCUAAGCUAUGUCGCAAUUUAGAAAUUAGCAAAGGGAUCAAGCCCGGUUGCUAAGCUAUAUCGCCAUUUAGAAAUUAGCAAAGGGACUAAACCCAGUUGCUAAGCAAUGUCGCCCUUUAGAAAUUAGCAAAGGGACCAGACCCAGUUGCUAAAC